CUGAGGACUCUCUCAUCAGCAACACGUUCACAUGUGACACACAAACCUGCUCUCACGAGGGAGGAGAGCGAGCAGAGAUCAUCACACCUGGUGCUUCUCUGGACGUCUACCUGGAGAACAGCUCAGUCAUCUGUAACCAUAGCAACCAGGUCAGCUCUACAAGGGACAUCCAUAAAGAUUGAAGAUCUUUGUGUGAAGCCCGACGAGAUAUCUGGGGUUGGUUUCUCUAUCUACAGGCUGAAGAUAUACGUGGUCUCGAUCGGUCUGGUCAUCAUGAUGUGUGCCGUCAUCAGUGUUCACGUCGUAGAGAAGCUUAAGAAGAAAA
Molecule: non-coding RNA, 325 nt
Organism: Labrus bergylta (ballan wrasse)
Lineage: Eukaryota; Metazoa; Chordata; Actinopteri; Labriformes; Labridae
Source: RefSeq, a predicted model, not a curated record